CUGCUUGCCGCAUCACGCAAGAUGGCGGCCGCGGCGGUGAACGGGGCGGCAGGCUUCUCGAGCUCCGGGCCCGCGGCAACCUCGGGCGCUGUCCUGCAGGCCGCGACCGGCAUGUACGAGCAACUCAAGGGCGAGUGGAACCGUAAAAGCCCCAAUCUUAGCAAGUGCGGGGAAGAGCUGGGUCGACUCAAGCUAGUUCUUCUGGAGCUCAACUUCUUGCCAACCACAGGGACCAAGCUGACCAAACAGCAGCUAAUUCUGGCCCGUGAGUGUCACUGGGGUUGGUUGGGGGUGAUGAUCUGGGGGUCAUGGCAGGAAUGGUAGCACUGGUGGUUGGGGAAGAGACCUCAGUCACCUCCUGAGAGCUCACUCUGUCACCCACAGGUGACAUACUGGAGAUCGGGGCCCAAUGGAGCAUCCUACGCAAGGACAUCCCCUCCUUCGAGCGCUACAUGGCCCAGCUCAAAUGCUACUACUUUGAUUACAAGGAGCAGCUCCCCGAGUCAGCCUAUAUGCACCAGCUCUUGGGCCUCAACCUCCUCUUCCUGCUGUCCCAGAACCGGGUGGCUGAGUUCCACACGGAGUUGGAGCGGCUGCCUGCCAAGGACAUC
This 611-nucleotide small RNA is filed under the name Pan troglodytes (chimpanzee). RNAcentral's name for it is "retained intron". The record is from RNAcentral. Lineage: Eukaryota; Metazoa; Chordata; Mammalia; Primates; Hominidae.